Molecule: long non-coding RNA, 1786 nt
Filed under: Homo sapiens (human)
Lineage: Eukaryota; Metazoa; Chordata; Mammalia; Primates; Hominidae
Description: LBX2 antisense RNA 1, transcript variant 2 (LBX2-AS1)
Source: RNAcentral
ACUUCUGGGAUUGUUUUCUCUUUCAGAAAGCGCUACUGCGGAGUGAACCGGUCCUUAUAUCUUAGUUUCGUGACUUUGGGGGCGGCAGGCCUGUGAGUUGUUUUCCGCCCUGGACGCUGUUUUGCAAAGAUCUCUGCGCGCCCACCGCCACCCUCCCGGGCGUGCGGGCCGGGAAGCAGCCAGCGGUGGGAAACUCCGACGCCCUCCUCGACACUUUUCUCCCCCCAACUCCCCAAGACUCACUUCUAGGGAAGUCCUUUUUCCCAUCAAGCCCUGGGAAAGACUGGCCAGGCUGAGAGAGGGACCCGUCCUCCUCUGUGCCAAAGGCGGGAGCAAAUCCUGGUGCUGUCGCCUUUGGAUGAAACUUUUCGCGCAGAAACUCCUGGAGAACAGCCCCGGCCGCCAGGUACUCGCCCGCCCGGACCGCAAAGCCCACAGAGCUUCAAUUCGCAGGAAGGGGAGUGGGGAGCCCUGAGCUGGGGUGUUCCUGGAAGAGGUCGGGGAGCGGGGGGAGAGGCAUUCCAGGCUGGAGGCCUGGAAACGUUUGGAAGCUUUGCUAACCUUGGAGACCAUGUCAGGAAAGAAGCGUACCCAGGCCGUCUGCUGUGUGCCCACCCCGAUCCCCAUCAGUGCCCCACGCACUCGAGCUCUUCUUCGGCGUCUGCAGCCUCUUCAUCCGCGCGGAGAGGCGGAGGUCUCCCGGAAACAGUGUCCGACUGUGGCACCCCAGAGCGUCCAAUGCGAGCUCAGGCCUUUCCCGCAAGUCUGGAGUUUUCUUAUCCAGUUGAGGCCGCCUUCGCUGUACUCACUCUCUGCCUCCCACCCCAUCUUCUGCCACCCGACCUCCAUCUUUGAUGGUUAGCGCCUUCAGCCCUCAACAGCUUCGCACAACCAACCCCUAGAAGCCGUGGAGUCAGACCGGCCAGGGUGGGACCUAGGUUUUAACUCGGGUUCUGGCUACACACGCUGCGCCUCCAUACAGUUUGUCCCAGGUUUGGCAGCAGGCCGGCUACCUUCAGGAAUUCUUUGCUUUGGCUUCUGUCUGUUCCUGUCUGUUGGGCAAGUUUCUAGCUACCCCACUGAGAGAACCAUAGAACAAGGACCCUGGCAUGGCAUACAGACAAGGAAUGUUUGCUGAAUUAAUGGAGCUGGUGCCUUGCAGCUUCCCUUUUGUUCCUUGAAGUUGCCCUUGCUCUCCUCCACAUCAGCUCCCUCUCCUCCUCAGCUACUUAUUCCCCACCCUGGCUUCUUCUAGUCGCAGUCCCCAAGUACUUGCUGAAUCCUGUAUGGACAGCCUAAGCCUCCAUUUCUGACAAUUCCUGUGGCCCCACUCCAUUUGUUUUUUAGACUUCUCCCUCCUUUUUGUCCCCAUCCCCCAAGUUAUAAAACUAUAAUGCAAUUCUUUGGAUUUUUCUUUAAAAAAUCACACUUGUUCAAUCCUGCAGCAGCCACUGUCCAACUCUAGCCUUCUCACCACCGCUGAAUUAGGAAACCUCCUAAGAGGCCCGCACCCGCACUGUAUGCUGCAGCAUACAAAGACAGCUGAGAGCUCCCCUCCAGGAAACCUUCCCAUCACCAAAAAGAGUGGUGUGGGAGGCCUGGUUUCACACAUAUAGGGAUCCUCUACCCUUCUCCUUUGGCAAGACAUUGAGGGCCCAUGGCCAUAGAGGACAGGCCCUUCUUCACAAUGAAACUCAGAGGAUUUUUGAAGAAGGCAGGACACAGCAUGAGUGUGAGGCAGGAAGAAUAAGGCAGAAGAGAGGUGCUUUUUAAAAGUUUUUAUUUC